RNAcentral lists this ribosomal RNA (465 nucleotides) under Vreelandella stevensii. RNAcentral describes it as "partial 16S ribosomal RNA". It matches the Rfam family "Bacterial small subunit ribosomal RNA", at positions 338 to 795 of the family's 1533-position model. Lineage: Bacteria; Pseudomonadati; Pseudomonadota; Gammaproteobacteria; Oceanospirillales; Halomonadaceae. The record is from RNAcentral.
CCUACGGGAGGCAGCAGUGGGGAAUAUUGGACAAUGGGCGAAAGCCUGAUCCAGCCAUGCCGCGUGUGUGAAGAAGGCCUUCGGGUUGUAAAGCACUUUCAGUGGGGAAGAAAGCCUUGGGGCUAAUACCCUCGAGGAAGGACAUCACCCACAGAAGAAGCACCGGCUAACUCCGUGCCAGCAGCCGCGGUAAUACGGAGGGUGCGAGCGUUAAUCGGAAUUACUGGGCGUAAAGCGCGCGUAGGCGGUCUGAUAAGCCGGUUGUGAAAGCCCCGGGCUCAACCUGGGAACGGCAUCCGGAACUGACAGGCUAGAGUGCAGGAGAGGAAGGUAGAAUUCCCGGUGUAGCGGUGAAAUGCGUAGAGAUCGGGAGGAAUACCAGUGGCGAAGGCGGCCUUCUGGACUGACACUGACGCUGAGGUGCGAAAGCGUGGGUAGCAAACAGGAUUAGAUACCCCUGUAGUC